GAUGCAGGCGCAUGCCGCGUGUGUGAAGAAGGCCUUCGGGUUGUAAAGCACUUUCAGUUGUGAGGAAAAGUUAGUAGUUAAUACCUGCUAGCCGUGACGUUAACAACAGAAGAAGCACCGGCUAACUCCGUGCCAGCAGCCGCGGUAAUACGGAGGGUGCGAGCGUUAAUCGGAAUUACUGGGCGUAAAGCGCACGCAGGCGGUUUGUUAAGCUAGAUGUGAAAGCCCCGGGCUCAACCUGGGAUGGUCAUUUAGAACUGGCAGACUAGAGUCUUGGAGAGGGGAGUGGAAUUCCAGGUGUAGCGGUGAAAUGCGUAGAUAUCUGGAGGAACAUCAGUGGCGAAGGCGACUCCCUGGCCAAAGACUGACGCUCAUGUGCGAAAGUGUGGGUAGCGAACAGGAUUAGAUACCCUGGUAGUCCACACCGUAAACGCUGUCUACUAGCUGUGUGUGCCUUUAAGGCGUGCGUACCGAAGCUAACGCGCUAAGUAAACCGCCUGGGGAGUACGGCCGCAAGGUUAAAACUCAAAUGAAUUGACGGGAGCCCGCACAAGCGGUGGAGCAUGUGGUUUAAUUCGAUGCAACGCGAAGAACCUUACCUACACUUGACAUGCUGAGAAGUUACUAGAGAUAGUUUCGUGCCUUCGGGAACUCAGACACAGGUGCUGCAUGGCUGUCGUCAGCUCGUGUCGUGAG
RNAcentral lists this ribosomal RNA (696 nucleotides) under Alteromonas sp. SDDC9. Its description in RNAcentral is "bacterial SSU rRNA". It matches the Rfam family "Bacterial small subunit ribosomal RNA", at positions 385 to 1071 of the family's 1533-position model. The record is from RNAcentral. Lineage: Bacteria; Pseudomonadati; Pseudomonadota; Gammaproteobacteria; Alteromonadales; Alteromonadaceae.